GAUGAAGAACGCCGCGAAAUGCGAUACGUAAUGUGAAUUGCAGAAUUCAGUGAAUCAUCGAAUCUUUGAACGCACAUUGCGCCUGCCAGCACUCUGGCAGGCAUGCCUGUUCGAGCGUCAUUUCAACCAUCAAGCCCUAGGCUUGCGUUGGAGCCCUGCGGCUGCCGCAGGCCCCUAAAAGCAGUGGCGGGCUCGCUAUCACACCGAGUGCAGUAGAUUACUCUUCGCUCAGGGCGUGUGGCGGGUUCCAGCCGUGAAACCCCCUACUUCUCAAGGUUGACCUCGGAUCAGGUAGGAAUACCCGCUGAACUUAAGCAUAUCAAUAAGCGGAGGA
This 334-nucleotide unclassified non-coding RNA is filed under the name soil metagenome. RNAcentral describes it as "partial contains 5.8S ribosomal RNA, internal transcribed spacer 2, and large subunit ribosomal RNA". The stretch from base 1 to 120 matches the Rfam family "5.8S ribosomal RNA", at positions 35 to 154 of the family's 154-position model. The record is from RNAcentral.